AGUGAACGCUGGCGGUAGGCCUAACACAUGCAAGUCGAACGGCAGCACAGUAAGAGCUUGCUCUUACGGGUGGCGAGUGGCGGACGGGUGAGGAAUACAUCGGAAUCUACUUUUUCGUGGGGGAUAACGUAGGGAAACUUACGCUAAUACCGCAUACGACCUACGGGUGAAAGCAGGGGAUCUUCGGACCUUGCGCGAUUGAAUGAGCCGAUGUCGGAUUAGCUAGUUGGCGGGGUAAAGGCCCACCAAGGCGACGAUCCGUAGCUGGUCUGAGAGGAUGAUCAGCCACAUUGGAACUGAGACACGGUCCAGACUCCUACGGGAGGCAGCAGUGGGGAAUAGUGGACAAUGGGCGCAAGCCUGAUCCAGCCAUACCGCGUGGGUGAAGAAGGCCUUCGGGUUGUAAAGCCCUUUUGUUGGGAAAGAAAAGCAGCAGGUUAAUACCCCGCUGUUCUGACGGUACCCAAAGAAUAAGCACCGGCUAACUUCGUG
Molecule: ribosomal RNA, 492 nt
Filed under: uncultured bacterium
Lineage: Bacteria
Description: partial 16S ribosomal RNA
Rfam family: Bacterial small subunit ribosomal RNA
Source: RNAcentral